GCUUAACCUCUCACUUGUAUGACUGUUGCAUCAAAUUCCAUUGUAUUGACAGCAAUGAAUGAACAAAACAAACAGACAUAGUAGGUAAAAAUGUCAAAAUAAGGGAUACAGCAGUCAACAUUGUGUUAUAAUCUUAAUGACUUCAAAACGAACAAAUAUGUAACAAAGAAGCACAUUGAGUAAUUUAGACAAAUCAUUUGGCAAAAAUGAAAGACAUGAAUACAAAAAUUAUCAUAGAAUAAUUACACGAUGACGGAAUGUACCAAAGAAAUUCUAAAAUGCACAAAGACAAAGCACAUCAGCAAAAAUGAAAGACAAGACUAUAAUUCUACCACAGAACAAUGACACAAUCACGAGAUUUAAAGUUCAGUCACGUCAAAUUUAUAUCAACAAAACCAGACCAUACCAGACUAAACAGCAAAAGUGAUAUUAAUAAAGAUAAAUAAAAGAAUACAAUAACACGUUAUUAAGAUGAUAAACAACGUCAGUACCCAGAAUUUAUACUUCAAGGCCAUCGUGUAUUAUUUGCUUGUAAAAAUAUUAAUAUUCAUUAAGAAGGUCUUGAUAUCUUCCGAUAUUUUUUUUUAGAAAAAGGACGAGACGUUCUUUGACAUACCCCUGUUCCAUUGACUUUCUGCUCAGACACUGGUGACGAUUUACAUAGUCUUAAUAGCAC
This 676-nucleotide long non-coding RNA is filed under the name Mytilus galloprovincialis (Mediterranean mussel). Lineage: Eukaryota; Metazoa; Mollusca; Bivalvia; Mytilida; Mytilidae. The record is from RNAcentral.